AAAAAAUUAGCCGGGCAUGGUGGCGGGCGCCUGUAGUCCCCGCAACUUGGGAGGCUGAGGCAGGAGAAUGGUGCGAACCCGGGAGGCAGAUCUUGCAGAGAGACGAGAUCGUGCCACUGCACUCCAGCCUGGGCGACAGAGCAAGACUCCGUCUCAAAAUAAACAACAAACAAACAAAUAUGGAACAUUCUGAUAUGAAUAAGACACUUGCUCACUUCUCAAUUCCUUGGUGUCCAGGCUCCCGCACAAAUGAACCAUGUUCUUCGCCUAAGUCAUUUAUGGAACAUCUGCUUUCGGUUUAGCAUCAGGGGAAACAAAGCAAAGAAGAAUGACACCGAAGAAUCAAAAAUAAAAUGAGCAUAAGACCCAUCAAGAUUAUAGACACAUACAUUCCUAAAAUUGAACAUUAAGCAGAAUAAAAAUAAUCCCAGAUUAUAUGGUCUGACAUGCCAGAAGAAAUAAAAAGCUAAGGAAUUAGUUAAAAUCUGUGCAAAAACAAAAACAAAAAACCACUAUGACUAGAAAAAGC
Molecule: long non-coding RNA, 529 nt
Filed under: Pan troglodytes (chimpanzee)
Lineage: Eukaryota; Metazoa; Chordata; Mammalia; Primates; Hominidae
Description: long non-coding RNA NONPTRT011997
Source: RNAcentral